Long non-coding RNA from Malaya genurostris, 1061 nucleotides. RefSeq lists it as uncharacterized. Lineage: Eukaryota; Metazoa; Arthropoda; Insecta; Diptera; Culicidae. The record is from RefSeq and is a predicted model, not a curated record. The transcript has 3 exons.
GUAGAAGAAAAUUUCAUCAUUCCAACGUAGAAUUUCAGCUACGCAAGUAGUUUGAAUAAGAGUACUUGUGCCGGUGUUAUUUUCAGAAUUGAAAGAUCGCCGAACAAUGAGUUCUUUGGAUUUACACAAUACUGACCGCAAAUCAGCUCCAUUAGAAAUAAAUUUCACGUAAAGUGCAAACAUUAAAACAGAAAUGCAUGAGCUGAGCUAAAAAAGUUGAACUCGGCGAGUCUGAAAUAACGUAGAGAAUUUGUUUGACAAUGAAAAAAAAAUGACAGAGCUCGGGUGAGCAUAGACGACGAUCUGAAACAAAAUAAAAAUUACCUCGGGUGAUGAAAAAAACGAUAAGUUUGAGUGAACGAUCAACAGUGAGUUGUUCUACGAACGCCUCAAGUAUGAAGUAUGGACGGAAUAAGCAUAUUUCUCUCUCUAACUUUUAAAUACAAAACUGGGCAAAGCUAGAUGGAUGACACAGGGCAUAACACAAACUUUUAAUCCAGCUGUUCAAAACCUUCCACAAUGUUGGUUCGGACAUUUGCCUACUUGAAAAAUGAGAAAAGCAUGGACCGGUUGGAUCCGCGGUUUUGAACAUGUCAUGACAGCGUCGAUCAUUUUUGACAGCUCCAUAAAAAAAGGCGGUGCUAAAUAUUUUCGAGUGUAAUGCGAGUUGGUCCUGGCUUCAUUACUGAUGCUGGUAAAAGCAAAGCAAAGUCUUGGCAUUACAUUCCUUUUGUGGAAUUUGGCCUUUCUGUUUCAACAGACUUCGCAGCCGAUUCUUAGUGUACAGAAUCAUUGCAUGGCUAGUACUAUGGAUCCUACUGACACUAAGAAUCCUUCCAGAUCGGGGCUCGAACAUACGACAGCUGGCUUGUAAGACCAGCGUCCUAUGCAUUGAACCGCCAACCCGGGUGCAGGAAUCGUUAUACAAAUGUUAAUUAACCUUAUUGAUAAUAGUAUAUGGAACAUGAUAUUAUAUUAAUUAGUUUGUGAGUUAUUGUGCUAACAGAGACGCUACUUUUGUUACUUUCAGAGCAAUGGUUCAAAAACAAUUUCGUUUUAUG